CCCUGGCUCAGAUUGAACGCUGGCGGCAGGCCUAACACAUGCAAGUCGAGCGGCAGCACGGGUACUUGUACCUGGUGGCGAGCGGCGGACGGGUGAGUAAUGCCUAGGAAUCUGCCUGGUAGUGGGGGAUAACGCUCGGAAACGGACGCUAAUACCGCAUACGUCCUACGGGAGAAAGCAGGGGACCUUCGGGCCUUGCGCUAUCAGAUGAGCCUAGGUCGGAUUAGCUAGUUGGUGAGGUAAUGGCUCACCAAGGCGACGAUCCGUAACUGGUCUGAGAGGAUGAUCAGUCACACUGGAACUGAGACACGGUCCAGACUCCUACGGGAGGCAGCAGUGGGGAAUAUUGGACAAUGGGCGAAAGCCUGAUCCAGCCAUGCCGCGUGUGUGAAGAAGGUCUUCGGAUUGUAAAGCACUUUAAGUUGGGAGGAAGGGCAGUUACCUAAUACGUAUCUGUUUUGACGUUACCGACAGAAUAAGCACCGGCUAACU
RNAcentral lists this ribosomal RNA (492 nucleotides) under Pseudomonas sp. CL3.71. RNAcentral describes it as "bacterial SSU rRNA". It matches the Rfam family "Bacterial small subunit ribosomal RNA", at positions 17 to 502 of the family's 1533-position model. The record is from RNAcentral. RNAcentral also lists the same sequence under 1 other name. Lineage: Bacteria; Pseudomonadati; Pseudomonadota; Gammaproteobacteria; Pseudomonadales; Pseudomonadaceae.